GGGCCCGCACAAGCGGUGGAGCAUGUGGUUUAAUUCGACGCGACGCGAAGAACCUUACCCAGACUUGACAUGCAUCGGACGCGUGUGGAAACACACGUUCCCUUCGGGGCCGAUGUACAGGUGCUGCAUGGCUGUCGUCAGCUCGUGUCGUGAGAUGUUGGGUUAAGUCCCGCAACGAGCGCAACCCUUGUCCAUAGUUGCUAACGGGUAAUGCUGAGCACUCUAUGGAGACUGCCGGUGGUAAACCGGAGGAAGGUGGGGAUGACGUCAAGUCCUCAUGGCCCUUACGUCUGGGGCUACACACGUGCUACAAUGGCCGGUACAAAGGGUUCCGAUACCGCGAGGUGGAGGCAAUCCCAAAAAACCGGUCUCAGUUCGGAUUGCAGUCUGCAACUCGACUGCAUGAAGUUGGAAUCGCUAGUAAUCGCUGAUCAGCAGGCAGCGGUGAAUACGUUCCCGGGCCUU
This 465-nucleotide ribosomal RNA is filed under the name uncultured bacterium. RNAcentral's name for it is "bacterial SSU rRNA". It matches the Rfam family "Bacterial small subunit ribosomal RNA", at positions 917 to 1382 of the family's 1533-position model. The record is from RNAcentral.